Long non-coding RNA from Malaya genurostris, 502 nucleotides. RefSeq lists it as uncharacterized. The record is from RefSeq and is a predicted model, not a curated record. The transcript is spliced from 3 exons. NCBI's taxonomy places the organism in Eukaryota, Metazoa, Arthropoda, Insecta, Diptera, Culicidae.
UAAUGUCACUUUCCGGGCAAAGUACCGAAAUAUAUUUGUCAUGCGCUAUUGACAUCUAUUUGUAUGGACCGCCGUAAUCAAAUCUUCAUGGUAUACGGACGCGUGUGGACAUAUUUUUGUGCUCUCCAGAUCAGGUUUAAGUUUUCGAGUGAUGUUGAAAUUUCAUCGCAAAAGGUCGAAGUAAAGUGGGAAAUGUCAAACACUGUCAUAGUACAAAAUGGCGCCAGAAGAUACUGACCAAGAUCUCGACCUUGUUCUUCUUGUUAUGCAUGAAGCCAUUCCAUCUGGUUCGUUCAAAGAAGCCGCCACAACUUCAGAGCUUGACUCUUCGUUGAUUUGAUCUCAGCAGGUCCAUCAAAAAUUGACCAAGUGAAACAAAAGUCGAAUAGUGUUUGAAUUGUGACGAUGCAUUUAUACCAAGGUACGAUUUAUUGACGACAACCAUGUUCUACCAUAUAAUCAAAUAAUACGGAAUGAGAGAAAAAAAUACAGUCAAAUGUUA